AGAGUUUGAUCAUGGCUCAGGACGAACGCUGGCGGCGCGCUUAACACAUGCAAGUCGAGCGAGAACCAGUCCUUCGGGACUGGGGACAGCGGCGAACGGGUGAGUAACACGUGAGUAAUCCACCCUUGGUACCGGGAUAGCUCGGGGAAACUCGAAUUAAUACCGGAUGGCCCAUCAGCUUUUCGGAGCGGAUGGAAAAGGUAGCUUCGGCCUCCGACCAAGGACGAGCUCGCGGCGGAUUAGCUUGUUGGCGGGGUAAAGGCCCACCAAGGCGACGAUCCGUAGCUGGUCUGAGAGGACGAUCAGCCACACUGGGACUGAGACACGGCCCAGACUCCUACGGGAGGCAGCAGUGGGGAAUCUUGCGCAAUGGGCGAAAGCCUGACGCAGCGACGCCGCGUGAGGGAAGAAGGCCUUCGGGUUGUAAACCUCUUUCAGGAGGGACGAAGCCACUCGGGUUAAUAGCCCAGAGGGUGACGGUACCUCCAGAAGAAGCCCCGGCUAACUACGUGCCAGCAGCCGCGGUAAUACGUAGGGGGCAAGCGUUGUCCGGAUUUAUUGGGCGUAAAGAGCGUGUAGGCGGUUUUACAGGUCCGCUGUGAAAACUCGAGGCUCAACCCCGAGCUGUCGGUGGAAACCGUAAGGCUAGAGUCCGGAAGAGGAGAGUGGAAUUCCCGGUGUAGCGGUGAAAUGCGCAGAUAUCGGGAAGAACACCCGUGGCGAAGGCGGCUCUCUGGGACGGUACUGACGCUGAGACGCGAAAGCGUGGGGAGCGAACAGGAUUAGAUACCCUAGUAGUCC
RNAcentral lists this ribosomal RNA (801 nucleotides) under uncultured bacterium. RNAcentral describes it as "bacterial SSU rRNA". It matches the Rfam family "Bacterial small subunit ribosomal RNA", at positions 8 to 796 of the family's 1533-position model. The record is from RNAcentral.